AAAUAACAUUAAAAAACUUAAUACUAAAUAACAGUUUUAAUCUAUGGUCCACAGCGUCGCUCUCUAUCCUAUCUCAUAGAUUUUUAUUAUCUGUGGACCAUACCUGUAAAAGUCACUAUCACAUUGAUAACGAUAAACAUUAAGAAGAAAAAAAAAAAAAUUUUUAAUUAAUACAAUUUCACAAAUUCCUAUCAUAUAAAACAAAUGUUAUGGUGCGUGCGCAAAAAAAAGAACGUGCUCAGCAUAUGCUGCGACCUCAACCACAUGAAAUUGGUGCCACAGCGCUGAUUUUCAGCACAUCCUUUAGCGACAUGAUGGCGUCCGUCCCACCAUUUUGCUGAAAAAAUUUACUGAAACUCUCAUAUUACGAUGUGUAUGGCCAAGCACGAGGGGAAAGAUGCCACGAUGGACAAUAUCUGCUGAAUGCCUGCAACCUUUGCUUGAAGGCCGCGACCAUAAAGGCCUCGCAUUGGUGGUGGCAGGUUAUUCCAACAGUGAGUCGCAGCAUACCUGAAACUCCCUCUAAAGGCCGCAGUUCUGUGUUGAGGAAUGGAGAGUGGAUUUGUUCCAGUUCGGAUGUGGGUUUUAGAGGAAUCUUGCCUCCAAGUCAGUUUCUCAUACAGGUACCGCGGUUUUUGAGUAGUUACAACUCCAAAUAAUAGACCAGCCAGGUGUAGACGUCUUCUAGCUUCCAUUUUUAGAAUGUUGUGUUGCAUUGCGAACGGGGUGACAUG
Molecule: long non-coding RNA, 734 nt
Organism: Helicoverpa armigera (cotton bollworm)
Lineage: Eukaryota; Metazoa; Arthropoda; Insecta; Lepidoptera; Noctuidae
Exons: 3
Source: RefSeq, a predicted model, not a curated record